RNAcentral lists this long non-coding RNA (1931 nucleotides) under Volvox carteri. Its description in RNAcentral is "long non-coding RNA (VCAR_LNC004052)". The record is from RNAcentral. Lineage: Eukaryota; Viridiplantae; Chlorophyta; Chlorophyceae; Chlamydomonadales; Volvocaceae.
UUUGGUUUCACCGCUUGCUGAACAGGACUGGACAGGACUGACCAGGACUGACCAACCACUACAGGGUAUACUUUAUCCGACGCUUGCGCUCUUUGCAAUGGGUCUUGUUUUAGGUCGAUGCCUACGCCCAUACCAAUGGAAGUUUGGGACCCUGGCAUGUAACCGACUUUGUUAGCCGCUGCCUGUGACGCCGACUCCAUUCGGUUUUGUUUUGAACGAAAGGUGCAAACUUGCUGUUUUGUCACCGCCUUCUUUAUGUCUUCCUUGCUGGCACAGAGGUCGAAGUCAACGCACAGCUGGCGGAUGCGGAUUCCGAGGUGGCAAUCAAGUCGCUGAGGGCCCUCGCCCCGAACCUUAAAGCUCUCCAAGCCCUCAAGCUUGCAAAAGCAGCAUGUGCCCCGACUGCACAGCCCGCUGACGAGUUGGGCGAGGAUGCGUCACCACGGCUGGAGAAAAAGCGCAGGACUAAUGAAGAGAUGGCCAAGGCCGUGUGUUUGAGUUUGGUUUGCUAUGGGACGCGACUUAUAAGCAGAACUUCCUUGUGUUUGAGUUUGGUUUGCUAUGGGACGCGACUUGCAAGCAGAACUUCCUUGUGUUUGAGUUUGGUUUGNNNNNNNNNNNNNNNNNNNNNNNNNNNNNNNNNNNNNNNNNNNNNNNNNNGUCUUGGAAGACGCCCACAUUGUUAAGCGCAAGCUAGUAACAGCCCGACGACCGUUUGUUAUCUCUUCCAGAAUGGCACCCGAUGGUGCCCUGGAUGUGGAUGUGCAUGGGCCGGACAAGGUAAGAACGGGGUUGGACUGCGUCUGACUGAAGAACUGGCAGGGUGCACCAAUGGUGCACUUUUCUCACAUUUACACCAAGUCGCGUUCCAUGCCUGUUCUAUUCCCAAUGGUGUUAACCUUCUGCAGAAGCGUCAAAAGCUGGCAAAAUUGACGGGGUUGGGCUUCGCCAGGGACAUGGCCGAAGUCAUCGUGGAAACGCUUGGGAUGGACCCCAUCGGGCAGUCGGCCGAUGCCGCCAUCGCCAAUACAUGGUCUGAAGAAGGCUUGGUGGACUUGGCGUCAGUGAAGACCGUGGCUGGCGGUAAGAACCACUUCAGCCUAAUUUGGUUUCACCGCUUGCUGAACAGGACUGGACAGGACUGACCAGGACUGACCAACCACUACAGGGUAUACUUUAUCCGACGCUUGCGCUCUUUGCAAUGGGUCUUGUUUUAGGUCGAUGCCUACGCCCAUACCAAUGGAAGUUUGGGACCCUGGCAUGUAACCGACUUUGUUAGCCGCUGCCUGUGACGCCGACUCCAUUCGGUUUUGUUUUGAACGAAAGGUGCAAACUUGCUGUUUUGUCACCGCCUUCUUUAUGUCUUCCUUGCUGGCACAGAGGUCGAAGUCAACGCACAGCUGGCGGAUGCGGAUUCCGAGGUGGCAAUCAAGUCGCUGAGGGCCCUCGCCCCGAACCUUAAAGCUCUCCAAGCCCUCAAGCUUGCAAAAGCAGCAUGUGCCCCGACUGCACAGCCCGCUGACGAGUUGGGCGAGGAUGCGUCACCACGGCUGGAGAAAAAGCGCAGGACUAAUGAAGAGAUGGCCAAGGCCGUGUGUUUGAGUUUGGUUUGCUAUGGGACGCGACUUAUAAGCAGAACUUCCUUGUGUUUGAGUUUGGUUUGCUAUGGGACGCGACUUGCAAGCAGAACUUCCUUGUGUUUGAGUUUGGUUUGCUAUGGGACGCGACUUAUAAGCAGAACUUCCUUGUGUUUGAGUUUGGUUUGCUAUGAGACCCGACUUGCAAGCAGGACUUCCUUGUGUUUGUUUGAGUUUCCAUGUAAGCAACUAUGGACAACUAAACCAUCCAUCCUUGGCCUGUUUUGCAGUCCUGUCAGUAUUCCCAGUUCUGCACCUGCAGCCUCAUUUUACAGCAGAACACCCAAUUCUAAU